AGAUAUUCUUAUAAACAAUAAGAAAUUGGUGAUUAUCGAAGAUAUGCUGUUUAUUACCCUAAGUGGAGACUCCGCACCCUGAAUGUGUGAAGGAGGAUGGAGCUUUGAUCUUAAAGGUGAUUAUGCCGGCUUCCCUAUCAGAGUCCCCUUGCAUGGUAGAGGCUCAGCACAAAUCUGAGAGCACUAGAAUGAGCAUGACUGUCUCUAGGAUCCAUGUGGCAGAAGAUGCAAGAACCAUUAUGUAAUUUGGGUCAAUGGAGUAAGAAGACUAUGACAUUCUAUCUGUGUAGCUUUAGGGUUCAGGAGACUUGAAGAUUUCGCCUCAAUCUCGGGCUGUUCCUGGAAGGUUAGCCUGGUGAGGAAGAUAAAGACAUUUGCAACCAAGAUGGUAAUCACGAGUGGAAAUGAUGAAGACAGAGGAGGUCAAGAAAAAGAAAGUAAGGAGGAGAGUGUCUUGGCAAUGCUGGGGAUUAUUGGGACCAUUCUGAACCUGAUUGUGAUCAUAUUUGUCUACAUAUACACCACCCUGUGAAUGGCCCAGAGCGUCCUCAGAGGCCUCGGGAUGGCCAGAGACGGAAGUCCUGCGUGUCGGCGUAUCACUGACCAGACACUGCGAGAACCAGCAGGCUUGACCCACCCACACCACCCAAUCAAAUGCACCUUCAGACUUUACAGAAGGUCACACAAAUAGACCGAUCCUGCUGCAGGGAGCAGACACUAAAGCACAAUGAUUCCAACAAAACUCAUUCACAGCACUAGGAACUCAACGUCUUUGGCAGGGGGCCCAGAAGAAUGCUUGGACGACCAGCCUCUGACACCAUCGGUGGUCCUCAGAACAAUCUUUGUGGAGUGGAUGGGACAGGACCCCAUGCGUCAGUCAUGGUCAGAAGUUAGCCACAUCCUUCCUGCGCUCUCAGGCCAGUGCUCA
RNAcentral lists this long non-coding RNA (928 nucleotides) under Macaca mulatta (Rhesus monkey). RNAcentral describes it as "lncRNA (ENSMMUG00000038389.2)". Lineage: Eukaryota; Metazoa; Chordata; Mammalia; Primates; Cercopithecidae. The record is from RNAcentral.